AAUAUAAUAAAGUUGCUUAAAUUUCACGUAUAACUAUUUAAUAAAAAAAUUAAUAAAAAGUUUACACGUAGACUGCACCCUCGGAAAAUUUUCAAGUGUUUGGAAAUAUCUAAAUGCUACUUCUUUACACAUAUUGUCAUUGCACAAAGAGUACAUCUAUCGAGAUCAAAGUUUACUUUUCACAAAUCGAUGAAGAUACACACGUGCCCGACGGGCAUACCUCGUUCGUCCUUCCUCGGAAAACGUGACCAUCAAUCGAUUCGAUCUCAAUUUCGGUUUUAUCGCUGGCGACAGACUGUCUCGCCAACACUAUGUCGAUGUCGGAGUGCUUCGGGUCAUCCCCGUAAUCCUUCAAGAUCUCGAGGCUUUCCGAAGGUCGCUUUUCGCGAAGCGCUUUCCCGCAAACAUCCUCGUCAGUGCUUCUCGCCUCCUCCUGAUACGUGCUUGAUUGAAUACGAGUCGAUCGCUCAAUAAAGUCGAAACGUCGACAAAAGGAAAUUAUCUGUCUAACUACAUUACAUUUAAUGUAGUUUCGACAAAGCUAAUUAUAUGGUUCUUCGCCAUGCAAUCCAAUUAAAUUUGAUAGUUAACAUUCUCAUUAAAUAAAUAAUUUUGAAUGUAACUUAAAUUUAUAUUUGACAAAAUUUUAUGUUGCGUGUCAAUUUCUAAUACUGUCAAAACUUUAAGAUUUGGCGAUGCUGAUGUUAUUGAAAAAAUACGAAAUUUUCAAAAAUGUAAACUAUUAUCAAAAGCAUAUGAAUACUAAAAGAGCUAAUAUCUUAUUAAACAACAUACAUAUAUUCUGAAUACAGAUAUGUUUAAUAUUCGCGAUUUGAUUUAACGCGUUUCAUUUAAUGUAUUUUACACAACAUGGAUUAUAAUCUUCUUAUAUGACUUAUAUUAUCGCAGUGCCGCGUAAAGUCCACGAUCACGAUGCAUUAAUUCAGAAAUUUCCAAGUCACUUCCGUAGAAAGUUGCACAAAGUUGUUAAUAUUUUCCGUAAUCUUCAUGUGAACCGGUUAAUUUUGCGCUUGCUCCGAAAAGCGGGUCCGAAACGCAAAUGCGUAUAUGAAAUAUGCAGUACUGCUUGUAAUGAGAAGUAGUUAGCAGUCCAGAGUGGAUAUUGUAUGGCGAAAGCAGCUUACUCCGCGCAUACGCAAGCUUAUUGGCAAAAUUUUACUCCGAAAAUUUAUUAAAUUUUACUCAUCACGCGCGCGUUAUUACAUGCCUGUAAUUUCCCAACUGUAACUUCCAUAUCACGAUUCCAACAUAUAUUGCGAUCUAUUUAUUUUAGCAUAAUACUAAAUGUAUGUAUCAAUUUAAUAUUUAUACGUUAAAAUAGAGAAUUAUUAGCAUGUCAUAUUAAUGCCUUAAUUAAUCAGUUAUUUAAAUAUUGCUAAAUUAUAUUAUAAUUAAUAAAGGUGAAUUUGUGUCACAUAACGAUUAAAA
Long non-coding RNA from Wasmannia auropunctata (little fire ant), 1449 nucleotides. RefSeq lists it as uncharacterized. The record is from RefSeq and is a predicted model, not a curated record. The transcript is spliced from 2 exons. Lineage: Eukaryota; Metazoa; Arthropoda; Insecta; Hymenoptera; Formicidae.